UACGUAGGCAGCAAGCGUUGUUCGGAAUUACUGGGCGUAAAGAGUGUGUAGGCGGUGCUCUAAGUCUGCUGUGAAAUCCCCGGGCUCAACCUGGGAAUGGCAGUGGAUACUGGCAAGCUAGAGUGCGGUAGAGGGUAGUGGAAUUCCCGGUGUAGCGGUGAAAUGCGUAGAGAUCGGGAGGAACACCAGUGGCGAAGGCGGCUACCUGGACCAGCACUGACACUCAGGCACGAAAGCGUGGGGAGCAAACAGG
RNAcentral lists this ribosomal RNA (253 nucleotides) under uncultured bacterium. Its description in RNAcentral is "partial 16S ribosomal RNA". It matches the Rfam family "Bacterial small subunit ribosomal RNA", at positions 524 to 776 of the family's 1533-position model. The record is from RNAcentral.